UACACUGAAGAUAUUGGUAUAGAGCCACUACUUGCAGUUGAUAGGGAUGGGAAUGUAUUAAGGGAAGAAGUGGAAAUAUUGUAUUUGCAGCAAUGGGAUGAAGAAGUACACUUUUCUGAAGCACCAUUUGAAGAACCACUAAAUGAUGAACUAAGAAAUGAAGAACCAAAUGUUGAAGAUCAAGUAGCUGAAGAACCAAGUGUUGGAAAUCAAGCAGCUACAGAACCAACUGUUGAAC
Molecule: long non-coding RNA, 238 nt
Filed under: Erythranthe guttata (spotted monkey flower)
Lineage: Eukaryota; Viridiplantae; Streptophyta; Magnoliopsida; Lamiales; Phrymaceae
Description: long non-coding RNA (EGUT_LNC002028)
Source: RNAcentral